RNAcentral lists this long non-coding RNA (327 nucleotides) under Salvia miltiorrhiza (redroot sage). Its description in RNAcentral is "long non-coding RNA (SMIL_LNC013195)". The record is from RNAcentral. Lineage: Eukaryota; Viridiplantae; Streptophyta; Magnoliopsida; Lamiales; Lamiaceae.
AAAUUUGCAAAUUGCACACGACCUUCAAAAUUAGCUCCAGAAUACACCACCUUUCGAUUUAAUUGUAAUUUGCACAUGCGUUGACCAUCAUCUUAAACGUUGUUGACGUGGCAACCGGAAAUUGCAGACGUGGACUAACCGCCGAGCAUGUAAAACGACGUCGUUUUAUCAAGUUUUUCUAAAUAAAAAAAAAAUAAAAAAAAAAGGAAAAAAAAAACGUUUCUGCUCUCUCUCUCUCCACACAGAGACGCCACUCCCUUCUUCCUCACCGGCGUUGCCGGCGUCGUCACCGGCGUCGUCGCCUCUCCUUUCUCUCGCCUCUCACCC